Leguminivora glycinivorella is the source of this 500-nucleotide long non-coding RNA. RefSeq lists it as uncharacterized. Lineage: Eukaryota; Metazoa; Arthropoda; Insecta; Lepidoptera; Tortricidae. The transcript is spliced from 2 exons. The record is from RefSeq and is a predicted model, not a curated record.
AAGAAGACUUGUUUCAGUAUUAGUAAAUUCACCAUUCUGGAAAGCUAAAGAAACACCUGUUUGUCCACCAAAGAAAACCUUAUUGGAUCCUCCCAUCAUUUGAAGGAAGCAAGUUCUGAGACAGAAGCAAGAGCACAUAAUUAUAAAAGUACAAGUACAGAAGGCUCUGCACUGUCAUCAUCAUCAACCUGUCAACGGACUGCAUGCAACUUUGAGUUCUAUUGUGCAGGGAGACGGUCAUCAAACUCUAAGCCAGGACUUGCGGCUGCCGGAAUGUAUGAAAGAAAAGUUGAGUGAGCCUCCCUGGCAAGAGUAUAUUUGUAAUAAUCAGGUAGAACCAUCACAAGCAGAAGACUUCAAAUUCAGUACCAUCAUUGUUCAACCACAGGAUCUAUACUAAUUCUAAAUAUUUUAUUAAAUAUAUUUUAGUUUUAUUUGUAUAAAGGAUUGCAUCUCUAACAUCUCUUCUAAAAGUUCUAAAUAUAGUGACUACUUUAUGA